RNAcentral lists this ribosomal RNA (493 nucleotides) under uncultured Enterobacterales bacterium. RNAcentral describes it as "bacterial SSU rRNA". It matches the Rfam family "Bacterial small subunit ribosomal RNA", at positions 46 to 528 of the family's 1533-position model. The record is from RNAcentral. Lineage: Bacteria; Pseudomonadati; Pseudomonadota; Gammaproteobacteria; Enterobacterales.
GCCUAACACAUGCAAGUCGAACGGUAGCACAGAGGAGCUUGCUCCUUGGGUGACGAGUGGCGGACGGGUGAGUAAUGUCUGGGAAACUGCCCGAUGGAGGGGGAUAACUACUGGAAACGGUAGCUAAUACCGCAUAACGUCGCAAGACCAAAGAGGGGGACCUUCGGGCCUCUUGCCAUCGGAUGUGCCCAGAUGGGAUUAGCUAGUAGGUGGGGUAACGGCUCACCUAGGCGACGAUCCCUAGCUGGUCUGAGAGGAUGACCAGCCACACUGGAACUGAGACACGGUCCAGACUCCUACGGGAGGCAGCAGUGGGGAAUAUUGCACAAUGGGCGCAAGCCUGAUGCAGCCAUGCCGCGUGUAUGAAGAAGGCCUUCGGGUUGUAAAGUACUUUCAGCGAGGAGGAAGGCGUUGUGGUUAAUAACCGCAACGAUUGACGUUACUCGCAGAAGAAGCACCGGCUAACUCCGUGCCAGCCGCCGCGGUAAAAGGG